GCGGCAGCUACCAUGCAGUCGAGCGGUAACAGGAGAAAGCUUGCUUUCUUGCUGACGAGCGGCGGACGGGUGAGUAAUGUAUGGGGAUCUGCCCGAUAGAGGGGGAUAACUACUGGAAACGGUGGCUAAUACCGCAUGACGUCUACGGACCAAAGCAGGGGCUCUUCGGACCUUGCGCUAUCGGAUGAACCCAUAUGGGAUUAGCUAGUAGGUGGGGUAAUGGCUCACCUAGGCGACGAUCUCUAGCUGGUCUGAGAGGAUGAUCAGCCACACUGGGACUGAGACACGGCCCAGACUCCUACGGGAGGCAGCAGUGGGGAAUAUUGCACAAUGGGCGCAAGCCUGAUGCAGCCAUGCCGCGUGUAUGAAGAAGGCCUUAGGGUUGUAAAGUACUUUCAGCGGGGAGGAAGGUGUUAAGAUUAAUACUCUUAGCAAUUGACGUUACCCGCAGAAGAAGCACCGGCUAACUCCGUGCCCGU
Molecule: ribosomal RNA, 479 nt
Filed under: Proteus hauseri
Lineage: Bacteria; Pseudomonadati; Pseudomonadota; Gammaproteobacteria; Enterobacterales; Morganellaceae
Description: bacterial SSU rRNA
Rfam family: Bacterial small subunit ribosomal RNA
Source: RNAcentral